UCUGAGCUGUUUAGAGCCCCAUCCAGGAUGAAGGGAAUUUCCUGAAACGGGCUUUGCUGUCCCACGUUCCUUUUAUGAAACAUGGGACUCUUCCUGCAUCCAUAAAGAUGAAGACAUUCUUUCGCGGGGAUUUAAUUUUGGGGCUGCGUGCCUGGGCCCUGAGAAAGCCCAGGCUUCCUCCUCCUUUUGAAUCUAACCCCAGCAGCUUUGUGCGCACCAGACGAGACUGCAUUCCCCUUAAUGCCCUUGGCAUCGCUUACGCACACCAAAAUCCGCUGCCUCAGGGCUUUCCAGCCAGCGUGUCUUCAUCUGCAACACGUGUGUGACCCUAAGGACUCUUUGGAGGGAUCAGCUGAUGUUACUCCAAAAAAAAAAAAAAGCUUGGAAACACUUAUACAGUGCAAAGACAGAGUUAUGAGAAACUGUGGAAACAACCCAAAACCUUUGGAGAAUUGACCUCAAAGAUGUAAGCUCUGUUUGUGUUGUGGUCCUGCACUCAAGAGCAUCUCGCCAGGUGAUCACCAGGAACUCCCGGCAUCACAUGCCGCACGGGAGGAUGCAGAGUUCUCAGCCCCCUUUGCACUUGGCCCCUUCACUUGGUGGAGGGUGGGGUCUGUGGCUAACUGGCCUCUUUCUGUCCAAAGGAGGUGCUGAGUGUCCAGGCUGUGCUCUCUGCUCCUCCAGCAGCCUCUGCCCAUCCACCCCUCGGCCUCCAGAGCCACUGUCUGCACUCUUGGACUCAGAGCUGAGUCCAGGUGCUGAGUCAUCUCCGGUGAAAGAAGAGGGGGCCUCCGCCACUUAAAGCAGGAAGGGCUGGGAGGGGACAUUCACUCCAACAUUGCCCCCUGGGUUCUAUUACGCCUAAAAGGAAACUGAGGCAUAAUGAAGGUUAAAGACUUACCUAGGUCAUAACAGGAGUCGAGGACUCAGCCAAGGCUAGAAGCACCAUCGGACCCCCAGCUUACAGCUGGACACUGGGGUCACCUGGGCACAGCUACAGUGCAAUGCCUGGACCGAUUAAAUCAGAAUCUCUGGGGGUGGGACCCAGGCAUUGAUGUCUGACACCAAAGGCUGUACACCACUGCAUUAGAGCGAGGAGACCCCGCGUGAACACUAAGGGCCUUGAUUCACAUUCUAUUCACGUCCAAACCGUAUGUCAGAGAUUCUGAUGUAAUUGGCUGCACACCAGGAUCAUUCAAAACUCCCAGAUGAUUCCAAGAUGCAGCUAAGUUUGAGAGCCACUGUUUUAACAUAGCAUCUUAAUUUAACUUUCAAAGUCUAUUUACUCUUCAAGGAAAAUCAUAACCUUUAAUCAUAUCUAAAAAAAAAAAUGUACCUGUUCAGCUGAGAUGCAAUCC
Camelus dromedarius (Arabian camel) is the source of this 1358-nucleotide long non-coding RNA. RefSeq lists it as uncharacterized. Lineage: Eukaryota; Metazoa; Chordata; Mammalia; Artiodactyla; Camelidae. The transcript is spliced from 3 exons. The record is from RefSeq and is a predicted model, not a curated record.